UAGGAAGAUUUCAGAGGUCGGAGCAUCCGAUCCCCGUCCCUCCUUCUCAUCGACGCUGGAAAGAAGAAAAGAUGGGGAUGAGAUCUCGCAUGGAGACGAUCAUCUCUUCGAUCGUUUUCGUCCAUCCCCACGAGAUCUCGGCUCUGAUCCACUCCGCUUCCUGCUUCUUCUUCAUCUUGAGCGCCUACUUUGUGAUUCUUCCGCUUCGGGACGAAGGGGCGAUAUCUUUGGGGCUGAACAAUCUUCCCGGUCUUUUUGUGGGUUCUCUUCUCCUGACGCUGGUCGCUGCUCCGCUGUCAACCCUAAUCUUUUCGCUUCCCAAUCUCUCCAAAUCUAGGGCUUUGGUUUUGAUACACAGAUUUUUUAGUGUAUCCCUUCUUAUAUUCUUCAUUCUUUGGCAUGCCUCAUCAUCUGCACAACUUCAUUCUGCCUCCAAGGUCUCAGAUCCUCAUUCAGCCCCAUCUGAAAAUGGAAAAGAAAAUGUCAGUUCAGAUAGUCCUAGCAAUUCUGCAGGAUGGGGUAACCAUGGUUGGUUUUAUAUUAUGGUCAGAAUAAGCUUGUUUCUAUGGGUUGCGUUGCUUAAUCUUGUUACAAUUUCAUCAACUUGGGCACGAGUAAUUGAUGUCAUGGACAGUGAGUCAGGCUCAAGAUUGUUUGGCUUCGUUGGUGCUGGCGCUACACUUGGUCAGCUCUUUGGCUCAUUGUGUGCGGCAAGUAUGGCUUGGCUAGGAUCAUUUCUGCUCCUGUUUUCUGCUCUCUUGAUGGAGCUUGCUGCACAGUCGUCUAAAGGAAUCAGCCAUGAUGCACACCAUGAUUCUGUGGAAUUAUCUACCACCAGUAGAGAAGAUAUUCAAGAUCAACAUACUGAUGCUGAAGAAGAGACAUCUGUCCUUGUAGAGUCUUCUCCAAAAUCACUUGCUCAUACGGUGAAACCUCACCUUUUUGUCAUGUUGGAAGGGCUUUGGCUGAUAAUGUCAUCAACGUAUCUCCUUUAUGUGUCCUUAUUUCUGUGGCUGAGUGCGGUUGUGUCUUCCUUCUUCUAUUUUCAGAAGGUAACAAUAAUUGCCAUGACUGUCACGAGCCCUCUUGCUAGAAGAAGAUCGUUUGCACUGAUAAACAGCUUCAUUGCUGUUUUUAUUCUUGCUGGACAACUUACUUUAACGGGUCGCAUUCUUACUGUUGCUGGUGUUACUGUUGCUAUUUGCUCAGCACCAUUCGUUGCAAUUUUAAAUAUGGUUGCUCUGGCUGUAUGGCCAACUUGGAUUGCAGUCGCUGCCUCUGAGACUAUUAGAAAGGUAACUACAUAUGUUGUAACAAGACCAGGAAGGGAACUGUUAUUCACUGUUGUCUCACGGGAUGAAAAGUACAAAGCCAAGGUAUGCAUAGAUGUUAUAGUUCAAAGACUCGGUGAUGCAACUGCAGCUGGAAUAUACAAGUUGCUCUUUGGCAACCUUAACAACCAUACAUCUGCAGUAUCUCUCUAUGCACUGCCAGUACGUUUUUUUCUACAUUCUCAGACAUAGAUUAUAGCUAUAGUGUGCAGUGAUGAAUGCAUGAUAUCUUGAGGGUUGUAUAAACCUUCUUCUCUGUCCGGGAGUUCAUUAAAAAAUCAAAAUGUUGCUUCUAGCGUAUUUUGGUUUGCUAUGAUGUGCCAUUGCACCAAUUGGUUGUUGGAGCCAUUGAUGUACCAUCCUAGGCGGCUUCUUCCGAUAAUGAUGGUCUUCAGCCAAUAUCUGAUCAGAAGGUUGUCAUCCAAUCUGCACGAAAUUAUAGCUAUAGAGGAUGCAAGCAGUGAUAUAUUAACUGAAUGGUCCGUUCAUUGAUAUGCUAGCAAUCACCAAUGAGAUUUGGUCCACAGGUUUACCCCUCUCCUCAGCUCAGUUGUUGGUGAGGGGUUCUGGGUUUGAAAUUGGAAGCUAUGUAUCUUGUGGUUAGCCACAGCAUUUCAUUUGGGACAGCGCCAAACAAAACUUGCAAAGCUACAGGCGAUUUCUACACCUUAAGUUUCUUUAGAAGGACCAAACAGACUACGUGGCAGAGAGAAAAAUGACAUACACUUCUUAGAUGAAGACAAACAGCAAGGAGCAGGAAUACCAGAAAAUUGUAGUUGAUUUGUGCUACAGCAGGUGACUUGUUAUAUAUUAUUGAAGUUUCUUCUGCUAUUGUAUAUUCACACAUGAUCAAAGCGUGCUCCUUCCACAAUUCAUCAACUAGGUCCGCCUUUGUCAGGCAAUUGUCUUGAUUGGCAUCAAUUGAGCUUUACUUGUAAGUACCUCUCAUUUGCUUGCAUGUGCGGAUAUCCAGAGGGUUAAUGAUCUUGACCCCUCCGUAAAUGAAAUCUUUGUGAUGUGACCAUCAGGUAUAUCUUUUGCCUAUGUCAGAAUUAAAAUAUUAGGUCUGGCUUGGAGGUAUUGUACCAGGUAGUGGAACUGGAUUCUCAAUGGCUUAGUUUGUAUUGUCAAAUGUCAUAUUUUAUUAUGCUCACAGCCCGCGAUAA
Non-coding RNA from Phoenix dactylifera (date palm), 2497 nucleotides. Lineage: Eukaryota; Viridiplantae; Streptophyta; Magnoliopsida; Arecales; Arecaceae. The record is from RefSeq and is a predicted model, not a curated record.